Molecule: non-coding RNA, 538 nt
Organism: Paramuricea clavata
Lineage: Eukaryota; Metazoa; Cnidaria; Anthozoa; Malacalcyonacea; Plexauridae
Source: the annotation of a GenBank genome assembly
CAGAGGGUAAAGGAGGAUGAAGAUUGUGGGAUUGCACAAUAUAUAUGCAAAAAAUGUCACACAAGUCUUUCCCAAGAGCAAAGGAUGCAAGUUACCAUGAAAAGUACUGUGAAGAGAGCAUGUGUAACAUAUGCAGCAAGAAAUUCUUGAACCGACUGGCUUUAAAAAGACAUAUGGCUAUUCAUGAAGGAAAGUACAAAUGCCAAACAUGCCAAAAAUCAUUUUCUGGACAAAAUUCACUGAAACGUCAUGUCAAAGUACACACUGCAUGGCACACAAAAAAAAGAAUUUGCCUGUCGUUUGUGUGAUGCAAAAUUCACAACCAAAUCAAACAUUAUAAGGCAUGUUAAAAGCCACUUCUAAUUUAUUUAGUACAAACAACACUAUAAUAUAAUUGUGUCACUAUCUCAAAGUUAUUAAAUUAAUAUACAGGGCCGUAGGAAGCUCUUUUCGAUUGGGGGGGCUGAAAGCGAGGGCCGAAGGCCCGAGGAAAUUUUUAAAUUUAGAGUCUCUAAAAUGCCAUUUCCUGGACUUUGGG